CCUACGGGAGGCUGCAGUGAGGAAUAUUGGUCAAUGGCCGGAAGGCUGAACCAGCCAAGCCGCGUGAAGGACGAAGGUGCCAAGCAUUGUAAACUUCUUUUGUCAAGGGACAAAAUCAGGCUCGAGAGCCUGACCGAGUUUACUUUAAGAACAAGCAUCGGCUAACCCCGUGCCAGCAGCGGCGGUAAUACGGAGGAUGCGAGCGUUAUCGGGAUUUAUUGGGUUUACAGGGUGCGUAGGUGGGCUGUUAAGUCAGCGGGAAAAGCCCGGGGCUCAACCCCGGCGAGCCGUUGAAACUGGCUGUCUGGAGAUGUCGAGAGGUAUGCGGAAUGCGAAGUGUAGCAGUGAAAUGCUUAGAUAUUGCGCAGAACUCC
RNAcentral lists this ribosomal RNA (374 nucleotides) under uncultured bacterium. Its description in RNAcentral is "partial 16S ribosomal RNA". It matches the Rfam family "Bacterial small subunit ribosomal RNA", at positions 338 to 710 of the family's 1533-position model. The record is from RNAcentral.